CCUACGGGGGGCAGCAGUGAGGAAUAUUGGUCAAUGGUCGGGAGACUGAACCAGCCAAGCCGCGUGAGGGAUGAAGGUACAGAGUAUCGUAAACCUCUUUUGUCAGGGAACAAAGGCGGGGACGUGUCCCCGGAUGAGUGUACCUGAAGAAAAAGCAUCGGCUAACUCUGUGCCAGCAGCCGCGGUAAUACGGGGGAUGCGAGCGUUAUCCGGGUUUAUUGGGGUUACAGGGUGCGCGGGGGGCCUUUUAUGUCAGCGGUGAAAGCCCGGGGCUCAACCCCGGCCCGCCGUUGAAACUGGCAGUCUCGAGUGGGAGAGAGGUAGGCGGAAUGCGCGGUGUAGCGGUGAAAUGCAUAGAUAUCGCGAAGAACUCCGAUUGCGAAGGCAGCAUGCCGGCUCCACACUGACGCUGAGGCACGAAAGCGUGGGUAUCGAACAGGAUUAGAUACCCUAGUAGUC
RNAcentral lists this ribosomal RNA (459 nucleotides) under uncultured bacterium. RNAcentral's name for it is "partial 16S ribosomal RNA". It matches the Rfam family "Bacterial small subunit ribosomal RNA", at positions 338 to 795 of the family's 1533-position model. The record is from RNAcentral.